GAAGCCCCCCUCAAGAUGAGACUUCCCAUUCUUCGGAAGUAAGAUCCCUGAGAGACGAUCAGGUAGAUAGGUUAGAGGUGGAAGCAUGGCGACAUGUGGAGCUGACUAAUACUAAUCGAUCGAGGACUUAACCUAAG
RNAcentral lists this ribosomal RNA (137 nucleotides) under Priestia endophytica. RNAcentral describes it as "partial 23S ribosomal RNA". It matches the Rfam family "Bacterial large subunit ribosomal RNA", at positions 2789 to 2925 of the family's 2925-position model. The record is from RNAcentral. Lineage: Bacteria; Bacillati; Bacillota; Bacilli; Caryophanales; Bacillaceae.